UCCCACUCUUUACUCCAUUUGACGAAAUCGAAAUCCUCUUCUCUAGAGCAAGGAAGAACGACAUCCGCUGCACACCCGCACCACAGCCUCUACCGAAUCGACCGUCGAGAUCCAUCCCCACCUCGCAUCUUCGCUACCGUGACGACCUUCGUUAUCGACCUGAGGUCCUGUCGGCGAUGCGGGUCGCCACCGCAGUCUCAUCCAGCUGCCGUGUGUCAUGGCCCAACGCGUCGCAAGUACCACUGCUCGUCGCCGGCCAUAGCUCCAGGCCCUUCUUUCCUCCUCCUCUUCCCGCACAAGAAAAGCUCUCUCGCUCCUUCGUCAAACACUACCUGAGCGAGCCCAGCCGUCUCGAACCUGGGCACCACCAGCGCCAAAAGUCACGACCAAAGUUGUUGUUGGUCAUCGCGUCGACCUCCUUUACCGCCACGACCGAAUCCAUCUCUACCCCUAAAACUGCCAUCAUCACUGCCACCACUGAAAAUGCUACCGUCUCCUCCACCUUUGGGAGGUCUCAUUGUCUAAUUAACAGAGAAUACAAAACCUUUGGUAGGGCUCAUUGUUUAAUCAACAGAGAACACGACCACAGAGGCUUACCAAGAUGAUGUUUGGGGAUUCUAUCUGAUGGGUUUUCUAGUUUCUGUUGUGUAGGUGGAAAAGAUGAACUCGGUUGGAGGAGAAUAUAAAAUCGUAGAAGAUAUUGAUGGACCAAGAAGAGGCAUUAAAGGCUGUUGAAAAUAGGAGAACUCGUGAUGUUUAGGGGUUUUGGAGCGGAUUGACUGCAAAAGGGGUUUUCAUAGCUUCACCAUGCAGGGUGUGUUCAGGGGAAGGGGAUGAAAGUGUGCAAUAAGAAUCUAGAAUGGAGAAUGUGGAAGACUCACCACAGUACAUACUCAACCAAAGCAAAAUAAGCAUAAAAGGCAGGAUAAUGCAGUAAGCGUACAUCACCACACAAGUGAGCAAGGUGCUUACCUCUCGGAGGUCUACUGGCUGCUGUUAGCUACGUGUAUCCGGUGACCCCUUCUCCUUCUUCCUAGCUGGCCUCUGUCUUUCUUUGUAGGUAAAAAUGGUGGAUGUCGUCACGGAGACUGGAUGAUGAUCGAAGAUGAAGGCCCGAGAAGCUGUGUGAAAUCCUCUUUUUUACUCUAUGCUACAAAUCUGUCCAAUCCUCCUCCCCAAAAAACCUCCUCAAUGCUUCGUCUGUGCUUUUUUUGCCGAAAUCCCCGUAACUGUUUCCGUGUGCCAAAUCGCGUCCCUGCCAAUCAACUCCGCAUCGUCCUUGCCCACCAGACCCUCUUGCCGCUUUGCAGACGUCCCCUUUCCUUCAGCCAAACACUUUUUCUCUCUUUUUCCUCUCUUUUUUUUCAUAUAAAACACAAAAGGUUUCAUACAUUUUUCUUUUCUUUCUUUUUUUUUCUUAACUUAACUAUAUAUUAAUUAUAUUAAAACAAAACUAAAAACAAAAAGUAAAAAUACAAACAAAAACAUUAAAAUGGAAAUUAUAAAAGGAAAAGUAAAAUAAAAUAAAAUAGAAUAAUAAAAAGAAAUUAAAAGUAAAAUAAAAAUGAUAAAAA
Molecule: long non-coding RNA, 1574 nt
Organism: Vigna angularis (adzuki bean)
Lineage: Eukaryota; Viridiplantae; Streptophyta; Magnoliopsida; Fabales; Fabaceae
Exons: 2
Source: RefSeq, a predicted model, not a curated record